CAGAUUAUAAAAAAUAAGGACCGUAUCUUCCAGGCUUCAAAACGUAUGCAGUACAAAGAUUUUUAAAAGGCCAGGGUUCUCUCUCUCUCUGUGUAUCCAUCCAUCCAUCCAUCCAUCCAUCCAUCCAUCCAUCCAUCCAUCCAUCCAUCCAUCCAUCCAUCCAUCCAUCCAUCCAUCCAUCCAUCCAUCCAUCGAUCAUCGAACCUGGGACAGGCUUUUCUCUCAGUUCUAUCAAUUUCACAAAACAAUCUAGUAGGCACACAAGAGAGGGCCUCUUUGGUGGUUGCUCCCAGCCUAUCCAUUCUGAAGGAAAUCAACCCUGAGUGCUCACUGGAAGGACAGAUCCUGAAGCUGAGGCUCCAAUACUUCGGCCAUCUCAUGAGAAGAAAAGACUCCCUGGAAAAGAUGCUCACAUUAGGAAAGUGUGAAGGCAGGAGGAGAAGGGGAUGACAGAGGAUGAGAUGGCUAGACAGUGUCAUCAAAGCUACCAGCAUGAAUCUGACCAAACUCCAGGAGGCAGUGGAAGACAGGAGGGCCUGGCAUGCUCUCGUUGAUGGGGUCACGAAAAGUUGGACAUGACUAAAUGACUAAACAACAACUACAACCCAGGCUGUGGAUUCCUCAUCACCUUCCUUCUUGUCAUCCUUCACCAAAAGGCAAAGCCCUUUCGGUUCAGCCUUCCUCUGAAGAAUUCAAGAGUACUCCUAAGCAUCCGAAGAACCCAGAGUCUAUGAAAUGGGUAAACCAGAGAGGAACUGACCAAAGCUCGCAAAAUGAGUUGAUUUGUACAGAAUUUGCAUGAUGGCUUCCACAAAUACAAAAACUAACAAAAACAGGUAAGAUCUUAAUCUGGGGUGAGGAUACUAUUGCCCCUCCCAGUCUGUAUGUCGUUUGACUGAUAUUCAGCAAAGUCCAAUUGGCAUAACUUUGUGAUGCAAAUUGGAUACCAAAAGUAUUUAAUUUAAAAUAAUUAAAAGCUUCCUCUCUCCCUCCUGUUAGGUUUCAAGGCUCCCUGGGGCUUCCUUUUACCAGGGAGAACCCUUUAGGGACCUCGGAAUGGCAGAGAGAGAGUCAUUAAUAGAAAGAAAAAACAAAACCACUGCUGGAUUGUUGACAGCAGUCCUAAUUCUGAUGGUGGUGAUCCAUCUUAUAUAAUUAAAGGCUCCCUCUCUGUCCCAAGGCUCCCAAAGACUUUACCCAGGGCAAUAGGGACCACUACCAACCUAAGAGAGAUAAGCUUUUAAUUACUUUACAUUAAAUGUUCUAGUGUCCUAUCUGGGUUAUUCUAGCACAAAGUUACACAAAAAGAUUUUGCUCUUUAAAAGAAACUCUUCUCUCUUCUCCUGUUCCGACUGGUACCCUUUCAUCCAUUAAUUUUUUU
This 1381-nucleotide long non-coding RNA is filed under the name Pogona vitticeps (central bearded dragon). RNAcentral describes it as "lncRNA (ENSPVIG00000003658.1)". The record is from RNAcentral. Lineage: Eukaryota; Metazoa; Chordata; Lepidosauria; Squamata; Agamidae.